This 378-nucleotide ribosomal RNA is filed under the name Triticum aestivum (bread wheat). Its description in RNAcentral is "partial small subunit ribosomal RNA". Lineage: Eukaryota; Viridiplantae; Streptophyta; Magnoliopsida; Poales; Poaceae. The record is from RNAcentral.
AUGCGCUGUGUCAGCCUUGUUCGGCCUCAUCGGCGCGUACGCCACCAGCGGACGUCUCUCAUUCUUAUCGCACUGGUCGCCGGAGUGUUGGUUUUCAUCGUCCUGCUGCUCCUGGCACUCAAGUUUCUCAGUAGAUGCACGAUAUUCUUCUGCCGCCGAAGCAACGAGCAGCCGCAGCCGCAGCCGCAGCCUCAGCCACAUGAAGGAGGAGAAGACAUAGACAAGGACGAGCCCCAGCUCCAGGAAGGAGGAGGAGACAUUGACGACGAGGAGCCCCAGUCCCAGAAGAUUCCGGCGAGGAGCCGCAGACCCAGGAACAGGAAGCAGACGAGGAGGACGACAAAGAAACGGCUAGAUACACCAUGCGCAAGUACCUGA